Molecule: long non-coding RNA, 9143 nt
Filed under: Fragaria vesca (wild strawberry)
Lineage: Eukaryota; Viridiplantae; Streptophyta; Magnoliopsida; Rosales; Rosaceae
Description: long non-coding RNA (FVES_LNC001047)
Source: RNAcentral
UUUUUUUUUUUUUAAAUUCUAAGGGUUAGAAGGCAGCCCUCACGUCGUUACUAUUAAUGAAACCGCAUAAUACAAGAGAAGACAAAAAACUAAACCCCAUAUCGUAAGAACAACUAAAAACAGUAUCAGGAGACCCUACACAACCUAUGCAUUCAAGCUGACCUGAUCGAGGUGAUCUUCUUCGAUCUACUCCAAGCUGACUUGAUCUCAUCUCCAUCAGCCCGCCUCAGGACCUGCGGCCGCCUACCACACCGCCGACCAGACCUGUAAGAAAGAAACGAAAAACGGCCACCCCCCAUAAUCCCCAUCUCCUUCACCGCUCUCAAAUCCACCUCCGCCUCCCCAACCAAAUCCAUUUGGGAGACCGGAAUCACCACAACGUACACAAGGCCGGCAAUGGCCCAUCCAACAACGACGGGAGCUCGCCGUCGGACGAGGAACUCAUGCUCUCUCUUUCUCUCUUUGCCUCAAUCUUUCACUACUUUUUUUUGUCUCUACAUUAACGUACAUGUAACAGCGAUGUUCAUUUACUACAUUUAGAACAUUUAAUUUACGAGGAACCAGUUAGACACUAAAGACUUAAAAUUCCUCUCUAUAGUAUUUUCGUGAGGAAAAUAUUUUGGUCUCCAGUUCCUCGUGAUAGGAUGGUAGUCAAGAAAAGUUACCGUGAGAACAAUAAUAUUUCCUCGCCAAAUCGUUUUUGCAAUGAAUAUAUUUUGCUCUCGGUGUCAUUCUUUAGCCACAAUUUAUUUUCCUCGCCUGAUCUCAUACUUUUUACUCUAUGAACUUUUGGAGGCUGGAAAACUGUCCUUAAUAAUAGGUAAAUCAUUUAGAAAGUAUAAUUAAUACAAUAUUCGAAAAACCAUUUUCAGUGUGUGAUUGAAUAUUUUAUUUCAAUAUGGUUAAAUGAUCAAAAUUUUAGUGCGAGCGACUUUGUCACAACAUAUUUUAAUUCAAAGUUAUAAUGUUUUAUAAUUUAAAAAAUAUAUAUGAAAAAAACCCUUCUUGUCUCUCAAUUGCAUAUACGUGAAUUUAUAUUGUUGUGAUACCCGAUUUGUAUCUCACACCUAGAAUCCUCACAAUGCGCUACCGAUUUGCAUAAAGCAUAUAUGUUUUAAAGUAGGGUGAGUUCUAGAAUGUAUGCAAUUUAUCGUCUAAUUUGACUGUCGGGAGUACGUGUCAAGUUGUGAUUGGCGUGUGCAAAUUAACUCUCCGGCAGGCUUAGUCGUCUUGUUAGCGCGUGAGCUACGUGACCUCUAAUAAUAUUUUCAUCCGCAAUCAAACUGAAUCGAGGUGGGUGACUUGAUUGCUGAGGCCAUUUUCUUGUUUCUGGUCUAAAAUUUGCCAAAAACUUAAAUAUUAUGCAGCUGGAGAUUGAGUCUAAUUUUGCCAUUCUCAUGAAUCUUCUCCAACAUGGAAAAUACUAAAUUCAGUCAUAUCUUCAGGGAAUGUAACAUGAUUGCUGAUUCCCUCGCCAAGAUGAGCAUCAAUCAUUCUCUUGGUCUCAUUAUUCUGGAAGAGCCUCCUAUCCAUGAUAUGUCUGCUUUCCUAGAUGACUUGAAUGGUGUUGUUAGAGCUAGAAGAGCUGGGAAUCCAGUUGCUUCUUAGUUUUUUUUUCUUGCUGUUUUUUUCUAGACCUUAGUGCCCCUUCUGUAGCCCCAACAAAAAAAACAAAAAAAAGGAACAUUGUUCUAUGAUAUUCUGUAUCUUUCUAGAUAUUCUUUAUGUGUGUUUUGGCCUUAUGCCAAUAAGAUAUAUAGUUAGACUAGAUCUAUGUAUUCAUAUCCUUACCAUAUUGGUAUUGUGUAAUUCCCUAUAUAAAAGGUUCAUAUCAAUGAAUAAACUGAUGAUUCUCUUGCUAUCUCUUUGUCUAUACACUUUAUACGUCAUCACGUUAUCACGCACUUUAUUCUAACCCUAGAGCCAAUAGCUCACCAUUUGUUUUCCAAAACCCUAAAAUCGGGCAGCCUUGUUUUUCCCGAUUUCUGACCAAAAUUCCGACUGCCCUCCGCCGGAAUUUUAUAUCCCUAGUAAGCUCUCUCCGUCCCGGAUCCAACGCCGCCGGCCUCACCCUGAGAACCGGCCGGAAAGUCUCCUAACUGGCUGUCUGAAGAUUCCCGACCGCCGCCGCUACCGACCACCGGUUCACCACCUUCCCUUACUCUGAUCAACCUGAAUUUUUGAUAGAAGCGUCCCCAUCCAGAGCUUCUCCUCCUGUCAAAUUUUCAGCCCCAAAUUCGAAGUAAAAGUAGGCGAAACGUUGUUUCUCCUCUUGGCAGCCUCUAGAAACCAAAGAUUUUAAGAUUGCUCGUCUUCCAAGGAAAGCCAGAAAGGUUCCCAACCCUCGGUCGAAGCCUGCAAUCGACUCAAAUUCAUCAGAGCUCCUAUAAACGCAGUUUAUUUGGCAAACUAGCAAGUAAGCUUUAAUAUUACAGUUAUUUACUUUGGAAUAACUCGGGGGGAUAAAAUCUUUUCUCCCUUCUCCAUCUCCAUUCUAUGCUUGGGAUUUUGUAUGUGCAGGUACCAAAAAUUCUGGAAUUUUAUUCGCGGGUCAAGAGUGUGUUUCAUCACUCUUGUUUCCUUGUCCGGGUUGUGUAUGAUCAACCUCGACCUAUCACCGAAUUGUGUUUGAUCAAUUCGCGGCUUUUCCGGAUUGUGUAUGAUCAAUCCGAAGGACAAACCAUUAAAAGCAUUGUUUGUGACCUCUAUCGAGUCUCAUAACAGCUUGGUUUUGUAUGCAAGAGCAAUGUAACAUUCUGCUCCUUUGAGUUUUGACGUAUUAGAUGCCUAAGGCGGAUUUUCGCUUAGUAUCUAUGGAACCUUUCAUUAGAAAAGAUUAAACCACAUGUUUUGACCCCAGGCUAACAAGCCUAGAUGCCGAGAUUUCACAUCUCAUGCGCUCAAAGUUUUUGAAGCGCCACAUCGACAAAAGCCUUCAAUGGUAAUCUGUGCAAAAAGUAAUGACCAUAAAGUACUAUGGAAUGCACUCAUGGAGUGUUUCUCGAAACGUUCAUAUAACUCUACUUGUUGAGUUAUUGUUGAGUUAUUAGUCAAGUAGAUUGCUUACCACCUUAAUUGACUACAUAUUGUCGAUGAUCUUUUGUGGCAUCAUGGUCCAUAAUCUUUAGCAGAUUCGAUCAUCAUCAAGUUCUCUAGGUCCUCCAAGUUGGUUUGGAAUUACCAACGAGACUUGAUUUUGAUCAUACAAACAGGAAUUGUAUAUACGCUAAUGUGAUAAACUUAUUUGGGAAUAUCCCCUAAUGUGGGGACAACAAUAUGGGUCAUGGCAACGGCAGAAAACUUCGUGCCAAUGUCUAGAAAAGAGGGGGAGGUGUCGCUGGCUCUACACCAUUUUGUCAAAAUUACUCACGUCAGCUCAUGACAAUGCAACCGUUGUGGAUCUUCGGAUCACUAGUUCAAGAUUGUCCAGCUCCUUCAAAUUGUGAAUGCAUACAAAAAGGUACGGAAAAUCAAUAUGAGGACAAGAACGUCAUCCUCAUGAUCACGAAUUUCAAAGAUUCGGAUCCUAUUCUAGCUACCCAUGACUUUGACGUCAUCGGCUAGACAUUGAUUUUCGUUCCAAGCUAUAUGUACUAAAGCGUUGUAUCGACGUCCUUCGUUUAUUUGAGACCUCGAUGUACUCACAUUAGCAAUAAUGAAUGCCUUGAGAAUUUUUUUCAAAGUUAUGAAACUAUUCUCCUCUUAUGGUUCGUAUUGAUUUACAAACAAAAUGUACAUUUUUACAUCGUCCUUAGAAGCAUGGCAUAUUUACAAUCUACAUGGUUAGAUUGUGCCGUUUUAGUCUCUUCCAAGUGAAGAUGACGCACAGCCUUGCAUCCUCAAGAAGGAUCGCUAACGUGUUUCCGGUUAAGUCUUCUACCCUUUAGCGGAUUUUCCAUCAUCAAUUGUUCAACUAGGCUCAUCCAAGCUCAGUGUGAUGUCUUAGAAUUGUCCCAAAUUAAGGAGAUAGUGGUUUCAAGUGUGCCUCGCACUACCGACCCUCCACGGAUAUGUCUGGUCAUACUGACUUGGAGUUACCGAAAGCUUUUGAUUUUGGAUCCCCCUACGUUAUUAAACCAAUUGCCGUCUUGCAAAAGAUGUUGAAGACUUAUCAAAACCGGAAAAUUAUCAUCAUGAUCGAAUCCUCUAAGUCCUCUGAGUUAGUUUAUGUUCGUGUCAAGGAGCUUUUGCUAACUAGUCAUGGAGUUUACGACCUUAGAACGACCGAAAGGACUUGGUUUUGAUCAUACGCACGUCACUUUUGGCUAAGGCAAAAGCCUACACGCCACCUGCAAGCUUCACAGCUUCGCACAUGCCAAUUCUGCGAAAAACAGCAAUCUGUCCCUUCUGGAGAGUCAACUUCGUUUGAGCUUUGUGAACAGUUCCAGACGAACCAGACAGUGAGUUUUAUAUCAUUGGAAAGUUCUAUGAGUCUAGUUUUCAGAAAUUUUUGCGGUUCAUCCAUAUCUGUUUUAACGAAGAAGUUAUGGCUGUUUUAGUGUGCAAAGGUCAUUCUGCGCGGAAAUUUUUAUGCAUUCUCGGGAUUGCAGUUUUUCGUAGCUUCUUUCAAUCCUUCUAAAUGGUUCAAGUGGAACUAUUAAUUUGCCUAUCUACUCUUUCUUGUAGAUAUGUGUCAUCGAGACAUUGAGUGCUUCGCAGGUAGUAGAACUAUCCACAACAUUCUAAGGAACCGGCAACUAUCUUUGAAUUUUGUGCCUUUGUAAAUCUUCUAUGACUACAAUGAUUGAAUCAUACCGGUCAUUCAGGGACAUGAUUUAGCUUGAAUCUUGAUGCCUCAUGGCACCAUGAUCAAUGUCACAGAUACCCUCUAUGCAUUGAGAGGCAAUCGAACCAUAUUGAGCUUUAAAGACAUUCUUGUUAAUAGUUUUCAUUUGAAAACACAUUGUGAGAAUGAACAAGAAUUCUUUCGUGUAUACCUUCUCAUGAAUGCGAACUGAAGCGCAUCUUGGAGAAAUUCAUGAGUCAAUCUAGUGGAUUGUAUGUCACUACGAUUUGAAUAUCGAAUUCCAUGUUGUCGCCAAACAUGAUAUUUGGGACACCGACUCAUAUAGGCUUUGGUUUGACCAAAUUGGUAAACCUGGAAGAGAUAUAAUGGCCCAAAUUUUGAGAAAUUCUCAUGGACAUCCAUUCUUCAGCUCAAAAUGAAGACAUUCGAGAUCUAGCAUCACCAUGAAGCAUGGUGGUGACCCGGGGGACAUUGACGUCACCCGAACACGACUCCAACUUCCUAGAGGUCGUCCGGUCAAUUCCUCAAGCAAUUGAGGUGCACCGGCCUUCCCUCGAUGUCGCAUUAGCCCCCCUGCAAUACUCAUUGCUCGUUUUGAAAGCCUAUUCUUUAGCAAAAUUAGGAGUGAGACCCUCCUACGCUAAAUAACACAAAAGUGAACAUUCUAUUCUUACAUCAAACUAUGUAGAUAGAUACAACCAACUUGCACACACAUUUUUAUGCUUUAUGGUGUUGGUUGAAAUGUUAACACACUGGUCACGUGUUACACUAUUAUCUACUGCUUAUGUUGCUUAUACUUCUACGGGCUCACUACCCAUUCUUUAAAGAAGUUUAUCGGGAUAUAAGUUGAAGUGUCUUGUACCCAAUGUUCAUACGCAAUACUGUCUCACGGAGGCUACGACCAAGCAACUUUAGCUUGUCGCUCGAACAUUAUUGAUGCGCACCAAUCUUUCUAAUGCAUCUUGGGGCUAUGCAAUAUUUGCAUGCAGCUUUACUAUUGAUCUACGACCCACUAUCAUUAAAUAUUUUUGUACUACAACUCGUGACUGCGUACCAGGAUUGCAAUACUUGAGCUCAAACAAGAUUGAAACGGAUCUCCAAUCCUUGAGCUUUGCUAGAUGUUAUUUCUAGGUGCCAAAUCAUACUGCCACCGCGCACAAUGAUGGGUCAUUUGAGAUGAAUAAGUAUCUAGGUUGGAUAUGAACUUCCACCUAUAAUCUGCAUAUGUAGAAACCUUGUCAGGCGAUCUCAUUUUUUGUCACUUUGAUGAGACACUAUUCCCGCCAUUAUGGGGAGAUAAAAACACAAAUGUUCAAGUGGAACAACGUGAAUUAUCGUGGUUUGUCCCACUAAGUCUCAUCUUGAUCCCAAAUGCUUAAAGUGUUAAAGUGACAAGAUCACAUGCUGCAAAUAUGUCUGCAAUGAUUGAUGUUCUAUCAAAAGGACAUAGCGCGACCAAAAGGUGUUGGUCUUGACGCCAUCACCAUGGAUGGUGAUAUGGUGACGCCAUAUAGUGGCAAAAGUGGUGUCACAAGGUCGUGUGGCUCCCCAAAAGGAGGGAGGCCCUUAGGUUCGAUAUUUUCUCGCACUAGGAAGAAAGCGAGCUUGGCACAACCUGAUCCAUUGAUCAGUGAUACUCAAAUCCGUCUCAUGAAGUCUGAAUUGUGAUUAUCGUUUGGGGACGCCUCAAUGUCAAAUCCAAUCCAUAUAGAGAUCUCUACAAGUAUUACAGUAGUGUACAUGAUGACGUGGGAUAAUGAGUCUACUAUCGAAUCACCCUUCGUUGAUGGAUAUCAACUUAGUUGAUUGGCCUAAUGGAAAGAUGUGAUCCAGCAUUAACAAAGAGAUAGGUCCUUGGGCAGGUGAUGCCGACACUGCAAGCUAAACCCUAUCAACUAUAUCUUUGUUAGAUAGCGUAGUGAGAACAAGAUGGCACAAAGCCUCUCACUAACACACACUGGGAUCGACUACGAUGAGAUAUGCUCUCAUAAUGGAUGUCAUUGCACUCCACUACUUUGUCAGUUUGGUAGUUUCUGAAUAACUGAACAUGCAGCCUAUGAAUAUGGUCAUAAUAACAUCUCUAUGGGAUCAUAGAUAUACAUGAAGGUCUUAAACGGACGUCAUUCAUCUGAAUCAAGUGACUCCAGACCACAGGAGCACGCAUUUGCUAAAUGUAUUGAAACAAAUGUAUUGAAACGCAAAUGGACUCUACUUGAUUUGGAAGGGAUAUGGUGAAUUAUGUCUUUGCAUGUUCAUUCCGGAUUUAUAUGGAUUCUUGAUGGAUCAAGAGAUGCCAAUAUGUAUCAACAUCCGAAGAAAAAGAUAUUGGGAAGACACGGUCUCGAUAAAGCACUCGAUGACUGUAUUGAUGAUGAUUUUCCAUCAAUUGGCUUAGACGCUCUAACGAAAGUGAGGCCUACAUAUACUCCCAUGAUUAGUCAAGGUCUUUGCUCUAAAGAGAGAUCCGUUGUUUUGUCUAAAGCAAGAUGACAAAUAUGUGUUAAGAGAUGGAGUUCCCAUCUAAGUACAAUAAGACGCAUCAAUGUACUCAACACAAUACGAAAGACUUAACAUCGCAUUCGCUAUGAAAAGUUGUAAAGCUAAGUGUAGCUAUGCGCCCACACAAUGCCAAUGUAAUGGAAUUAAUUCCUUUUUCAAUACUUAAUGGUAUGAAAGGUUGAGGCUUAUUCUAUCCUUACAUAAGAAAGACACAUCAAUAGAGAAAUCAGAAUCUGCCAAGUUUCGUAGGUCAAGCUCCACGGGACCUACAGGAAACUGACGUGCCCGUUUACCGGGCAUGCGACAAUUAAGAACCCUUUUUGACAAUCGUAGUAUAAAGCAAAUAAGGUUCGAUCAAUCCGGGGACUAAAGGUGCUCUUGUAAUAAUGGUCAUGUAAAAGUUAGUAGCUAACAUAAAGAUAUAUACAAGUAUUUAUUUACAAAUAUACAUAUAAUACAAGGUAAAAAUGGGGGGGGGGGUGUGGGGUUUGAAAGUUUGAUUCUAAAUUCCUACUAAAAGAUAAAGACAAAAUCUAAACUAAUAUAUACAAGUGAUCGAUUCAUUCAACACAUCAACAAAGAGAGAAACUCAAAUUUUAACCACAAAAUUAAAGAGACGUUUCAAUCCUAAACAACUUGAAUUAUACAACUCAACUACUAGCAACAACCUCGAGUACAUACUGAUCCAGCUAUGCACCCAUAGAUUCUACUUAGCUUAUCAUCUUUAAUCCGUACACCACGCAAUCAAAGAUUAUUUCAUGCAUAGGCUGCUAUCAAUGCUACAAGCAUCUGUCUACUCUAAACAUGAAUCAUUAAGUUCUAAAGAAUCAAGAUUGAACUUAACUCGGUGAUGAAAUCCCACUUAUUGCUAUGCAACCUAUGUUCUCAACUACUCACCAUAGUUUCCACCACUAUAGAUUAAUGCUUACCACACCGGCAUAGCACUAAAUCAUGGCAUACCGUUAACAUGCAUUUUAACGUCUAUUCAAACACAAACAUAGCUUUACUAAUACAAGAGUUAACAUAACCAGAUUGCAAAGAAUAUCAUAAACGAAACUUUAACAUGCUUUACUAAAAUAUGAAUCCACUAAUAUCAAACAACCAAAACAAACAUCCAAUUCCAUUGAUGAAAACCGAAUCUAUGUUCUCAAAAUUGAAAAGAAAACUAAACAACUGUAGAGGCAUAGUCUACACUUUUUUCAAUCUUCAAGAAGCUUGAUGAUGAAAAAGAGGUGCUACGGUUUCAAGGCUCCUACUCUCCAAGGCUGCCGCGCUUGAUACAACGUCAAGGCUAGGGCAAAAGGAAGGGAACUCGCAACGGAAAGGAAGCUGCUUGGCUGCUCUCUAUUUCUCUAAGGUGUUUGCGUGUGAAUGAAUGAUCAUUAUUUAUGAAGCCAAACAGCCUUUAUAUAGUGUCCAUGAAUUGCUCUGGGCCCUUGAUUCAAUCUUGAUCCAACGGUCCUCCUUGAUUGCACAAAAUCUGAUAACUCUAUUGAUAUUUUCCUUAUCUUCAAAGAUAUUUAUCUUAUCUCUAAAGAUAUUUCUAGACAUGUGCAAUAAUGCUUUGAAUGUAGCUUGAAUCAUGUCCAGAUACAUUGCCUCCAAGAGUCUUCAAAGCAAGGAUUACUUGUUCAAGUUGAACUUCUCUUCUAGCUCCACAAGUUUGACUUUUCUCCUCUUUUUUUAGAGUUGGAAUCCAAAUUUACUUCUUCUUCCCUCCUUGGACUUAGGCUUUCUAUAUUUUUCUCUUAAAUUCACGAUUUAACCGUCUUUUCUCGAUUUAUGCUCUUAUUGCCUCUACAAAUACAAAACAUGUCAUAACUAACAUUAUUAAGGAAAUAACAUAAUUAAAUAGGAUAGGAAAUACGUUAUAAACAUAGCACUUUGUGCUUCUAUC